RNAcentral lists this ribosomal RNA (474 nucleotides) under Triticum aestivum (bread wheat). Its description in RNAcentral is "partial small subunit ribosomal RNA". Lineage: Eukaryota; Viridiplantae; Streptophyta; Magnoliopsida; Poales; Poaceae. The record is from RNAcentral.
AUGAAAUUGAACCCGUGCGAGAAGUUUUUGCUCGACGAUGCGGACGACUCGGAUGUUGAGACGCUGCUUGCAAACUUUCGGCAGCAGACGUUGGUGAUGGCUCUUGCCGUCAAGGAGCACGAAGACGAGAACCGAAAGAGGCGGCGAGGAUCGACCGUCGGGCGUCUUUGCAUUCCUCGGAAUCGCCAUCUCGGGAAGGAGAUGUUGAUGCAAGACUACUUCGCGGAGAAUCCAACAUAUCCACCGCACCUCUUCCGGAGAAGGUACCGAAUGCGCCGAUCCCUCUUUGUGAAAAUUGUUCAAGCUUGUGAGGCAAAUUGUCGGUAUUUUACUCAAGGAAGAAAUGCUACGGGCUUAAAGGGAUUUAGUGCAUAUCAAAAAAUCUCGGCAGCUAUGUGGGUGAUUGCAUAUAGCGUUCCGGCUGACUAUGCCGAUGAGUACCUCGCAUUGGUGAAGAUACCACAAUUGAGUUAG